This 322-nucleotide ribosomal RNA is filed under the name uncultured eukaryote. RNAcentral describes it as "partial 18S ribosomal RNA". It matches the Rfam family "Eukaryotic small subunit ribosomal RNA", at positions 1470 to 1796 of the family's 1831-position model. The record is from RNAcentral.
CCCUUAGAUGUUCUGGGCCGCACGCGCGCUACACUGAUGCGUUCAACAAGUUUCCUUGGCCGAGAGGCCUGGGCAAUCUUCUUAAUAUGUAUCGUGAUAGGGAUAGAUUAUUGCAAUUAUUAAUCUUGAACGAGGAAUUCCUAGUAAACGCAGAUCAUCAAUCUGCAUUGAUUACGCCCCUGCCCUUUGUACACACCGCCCGUCGCACCUACCGAUUGGAUGUUCCGGUGAAGCCUCGGGAUGAGGACUGGUGCCUUUAUUGGCAUGAGUUGUUCAGAACUUGUCUAAACCUUAUCAUCUAGAGGAAGGUGAAGUCGUAACA